Molecule: non-coding RNA, 100 nt
Filed under: Teredinibacter turnerae
Lineage: Bacteria; Pseudomonadati; Pseudomonadota; Gammaproteobacteria; Cellvibrionales; Cellvibrionaceae
Also listed under: 1 other name
Description: TPP sequence
Rfam family: TPP riboswitch aptamer (THI element)
About the family: Vitamin B(1) in its active form thiamin pyrophosphate (TPP) is an essential coenzyme that is synthesised by coupling of pyrimidine and thiazole moieties in bacteria.
Source: RNAcentral
AAAUGACUGUCGGGGUGCCAACAUGACGUUGUCGGCUGAGAAUAUACCCGUACGACCUGAUCAGGUUCGAACCUGCGUAGGCAACAAUUAUGACUGCUCC